Molecule: long non-coding RNA, 193 nt
Organism: Maniola jurtina (meadow brown)
Lineage: Eukaryota; Metazoa; Arthropoda; Insecta; Lepidoptera; Nymphalidae
Exons: 3
Source: RefSeq, a predicted model, not a curated record
UGCUAAUUCUGUUGUACACAAAUCACUAAACUAAAUUGUCACAAUCAAAUCUAGUGCCAUUCUCUUCCUCAAGGAGCAUUAUGCAAGGGACAGCAAUAGAUUUAGACCUGCCAUUUUGAUUUAGUUUAGAGAUUAUAUACAACAGAAUUAGCCACAAUAUUACUUAUACUAACAAACUUAAAAUAUUAUUUUU